AGUUAGUCUGGUCGAAUAAGAGGAUAAAUGCUACAUGGAAGUGCUUGUCACUUAUGAACCCCAACGCAAGUCUCAUUUCAUUGUUCCGCAAGCCAUUUAUGAACGUGCCUGUGGGCAGCAGGAAGAAAAGAAAAAUUGAAGCAUGAGAGAUGAGCAUUGCUGUCAAGUCCCCACAGCUGCCACAGAAACGCAUGUGCUGCUUUCCAUCAUCCCUUGCAUUCAAAAUGCUACUGAUGCAUAGCACCUAAUCAAGUCCCCAGGCUGCAGUUCCACUCGGAGGAAGCUACGUCACCUCCAUCGCUACUGUGUUGUCUGCUAUGUUGUUCAGUGCUG
Molecule: long non-coding RNA, 333 nt
Filed under: Homo sapiens (human)
Lineage: Eukaryota; Metazoa; Chordata; Mammalia; Primates; Hominidae
Description: HSALNT0160988
Source: RNAcentral